Molecule: long non-coding RNA, 512 nt
Filed under: Medicago truncatula (barrel medic)
Lineage: Eukaryota; Viridiplantae; Streptophyta; Magnoliopsida; Fabales; Fabaceae
Description: lncRNA gene9444
Source: RNAcentral
GUUACUACUAACAAUUUUUUUAUUCAAAUUUAGAGAAAAAAAAUUAUUAAUAACGGUGGCACUAAUGACCAUUUUACAAUUAUUUUAUAUGGAUGACGAACAAAGAUCGAUGAGCGAGAGAAAUCAUAAAAGUACCAACAAUAUAAUUGCAUAUACAAUUAUAUUCUUAAAAGUAUCAUGAAAUUAUUUUUGAACUUAAUUCUUAAUUAAACCCGCAAUAACAUUUUUGAAUUAAGCACCUUGGAACUAGAGGAUAACUACACGUAAUAGUAGUACAAUCUCUAUGAAUUUUGCAUGGAUAACUUGCUGUUAUAUGAAAUAAGAAAAAAUGAAUGUUAAUAAUAGAAAAUGAAACAUCGUGUAUAAGAUAAAUAAGAGAAUUUGAAAUAAAAACAAAGAAGAGAAUAAGGAAAUUAUUACCGUCAGUUACAAUGACAAAGAUGAAAAGCAUGAUAAUCGUAAAAAUUUGUAUGAUCGUUAUUAUUUUAGCCAUAUUUUAUCUUGCUUACUAC